This 497-nucleotide ribosomal RNA is filed under the name uncultured bacterium. RNAcentral describes it as "partial 16S ribosomal RNA". It matches the Rfam family "Bacterial small subunit ribosomal RNA", at positions 28 to 507 of the family's 1533-position model. The record is from RNAcentral.
GAUGAACGCUGGCGGCGUGCCUAAUACAUGCAAGUCGAGCGAACAGACGAGGAGCUUGCUCCUCUGACGUUAGCGGCGGACGGGUGAGUAACACGUGGAUAACCUACCUAUAAGACUGGGAUAACUUCGGGAAACCGGAGCUAAUACCGGAGAAUAUAUUGAACCGCAUGGUUCAAUAGUGAAAGACGGUUUUGCUGUCACUUAUAGAUGGAUCCGCGCCGCAUUAGCUAGUUGGUAAGGUAACGGCUUACCAAGGCAACGAUGCGUAGCCGACCUGAUAGGGUGGUCGGCCACACUGGAACUGAGCCACGGUCCAGACUCCUGCGGGAGGCAGCAGUAGGGAAUCUUCCGCAAUGGGCGAAAGCCUGACGGAGCAACGCCGCGUGAGUGAUGACGGUCUUCGGAUCGUAAAACUCUGUUAUUAGGGAAGAACCAAUGUGUACGUAACUAUGCACGUCUUGACGGUACCUAAUCAGAAAGCCACGGCUAACUACGUG